Molecule: ribosomal RNA, 221 nt
Filed under: uncultured bacterium
Lineage: Bacteria
Description: partial 16S ribosomal RNA
Rfam family: Bacterial small subunit ribosomal RNA
Source: RNAcentral
AUCAGGCUCAGGAUGAACGCUGGCGGCGUGCCUAAUACAUGCAAGUAGAACGCUGAAGCUUGGUGCUUGCACCGAGCGGAUGAGUUGCGAACGGGUGAGUAACGCGUAGGUAACCUGCCUCUUAGCGGGGGAUAACUAUUGGAAACGAUAGCUAAUACCGCAUAAAAGUCGACAUUGCAUGAUGUUGACUUGAAAGGUGCAAUUGCAUCACUAAGAGAUGG